This 1157-nucleotide ribosomal RNA is filed under the name Salmonella enterica subsp. enterica serovar Rubislaw. RNAcentral's name for it is "partial 23S ribosomal RNA". It matches the Rfam family "Bacterial large subunit ribosomal RNA", at positions 1 to 1190 of the family's 2925-position model. Lineage: Bacteria; Pseudomonadati; Pseudomonadota; Gammaproteobacteria; Enterobacterales; Enterobacteriaceae. The record is from RNAcentral. RNAcentral also lists the same sequence under 2 other names.
GGGUUGUGAGGUUAAGCGACUAAGCGUACACGGUGGAUGCCCUGGCAGUCAGAGGCGAUGAAGGGCGUGCUAAUCUGCGAUAAGCGCCGGUAAGGUGAUAUGAACCGUUAUAACCGGCGAUACCCGAAUGGGGAAACCCAGUGUGACUCGUCACACUAUCAUUAACUGAAUCCAUAGGUUAAUGAGGCGAACCGGGGGAACUGAAACAUCUAAGUACCCCGAGGAAAAGAAAUCAACCGAGAUUCCCCCAGUAGCGGCGAGCGAACGGGGAGGAGCCCAGAGCCUGAAUCAGCAUGUGUGUUAGUGGAAGCGUCUGGAAAGGCGCGCGAUACAGGGUGACAGCCCCGUACACAAAAGCGCAUGUGCUGUGAGCUCGAUGAGUAGGGCGGGACACGUGGUAUCCUGUCUGAAUAUGGGGGGACCAUCCUCCAAGGCUAAAUACUCCUGACUGACCGAUAGUGAACCAGUACCGUGAGGGAAAGGCGAAAAGAACCCCGGCGAGGGGAGUGAAAAAGAACCUGAAACCGUGUACGUACAAGCAGUGGGAGCACCCUUUGGGGUGUGACUGCGUACCUUUUGUAUAAUGGGUCAGCGACUUAUAUUCUGUAGCAAGGUUAACCGAAUAGGGGAGCCGGAGGGAAACCGAGUCUUAAUUGGGCGUUAAGUUGCAGGGUAUAGACCCGAAACCCGGUGAUCUAGCCAUGGGCAGGUUGAAGGUUGGGUAACACUAACUGGAGGACCGAACCGACUAAUGUUGAAAAAUUAGCGGAUGACCUGUGGCUGGGGGUGAAAGGCCAAUCAAACCGGGAGAUAGCUGGUUCUCCCCGAAAGCUAUUUAGGUAGCGCCUCGUGAAUUCAUCUCCGGGGGUAGAGCACUGUUUCGGCUAGGGGGCCAUCCCGGCUUACCAACCCGAUGCAAACUGCGAAUACCGGAGAAUGUUAUCACGGGAGACACACGGCGGGUGCUAACGUCCGUCGUGAAGAGGGAAACAACCCAGACCGCCAGCUAAGGUCCCAAAGUCAUGGUUAAGUGGGAAACGAUGUGGGAAGGCCCAGACAGCCAGGAUGUUGGCUUAGAAGCAGCCAUCAUUUAAAGAAAGCGUAAUAGCUCACUGGUCGAGUCGGCCUGCGCGGAAGAUGUAACGGGGCUAAACCAU